AGAGUUUGAUCAUGGCUCAGAAUCAACGCUGGCGGCGCGCUUAACACAUGCAAGUCGAACGAGAAAGGGGGGCAACCCCUGAGUAAAGUGGCGCACGGGUGAGUAACACGUGGGUAAUCUGCCUCUGGGUGGGGAAUAACUCUGGGAAACCGGAGCUAAUACCGCAUAAGCCUGAAAGGGGAAAGGCGAAAGUCGCCGAGAGAGGAGCCCGCGGUCGAUUAGCUAGUUGGUGGGGUAAAGGCCUACCAAGGCAGUGAUCGAUAGCCGGCCUGAGAGGGCACACGGCCACACUGGCACUGAAACACGGGCCAGACUCCUACGGGAGGCAGCAGUGGGGAAUCUUGCACAAUGGGGGAAACCCUGAUGCAGCGACGCCGCGUGAGCGAUGAAGCCCUUCGGGGUGUAAAGCUCUUUCGGCAGGGACGAUGAUGACGGUACCUGAAGAAGAAGCUGCGGCUAACUACGUGCCAGCAGCCGCGGUAAUACGUAGGCAGCGAGCGUUGUUCGGAGUUACUGGGCGUAAAGAGUGCGUAGGCGGUGGUCCAAGUCUGGUGUGAAAUCUCCCGGCUCAACCGGGAGGGUGCGCCGGAAACUGGGCUGCUGGAGUGCCGGAGAGGCAGGCGGAAUUCCUGGUGUAGCGGUGAAAUGCGUAGAUAUGAGGAGGAACACCCGUGGUGUAGACGGCCUGCUGGACGGCAAC
This 700-nucleotide ribosomal RNA is filed under the name uncultured bacterium. Its description in RNAcentral is "bacterial SSU rRNA". It matches the Rfam family "Bacterial small subunit ribosomal RNA", at positions 8 to 740 of the family's 1533-position model. The record is from RNAcentral.